RNAcentral lists this long non-coding RNA (527 nucleotides) under Homo sapiens (human). Its description in RNAcentral is "HSALNT0406273". The record is from RNAcentral. Lineage: Eukaryota; Metazoa; Chordata; Mammalia; Primates; Hominidae.
CCCGGCCCGGCCAGGCUGCCGCGGCCCCACAGUGCGACGUGUCACAGGCCGCGCCGGCCCCGCCUCCCAAGCCACGGGCACUGGCGCCCGCGGGGCCUCCCGCCGGUUCCCGCAGGGAUGCCAGGCAGGCCCGCACUCGCCCGCGGCCGCUACCUUGUUAGUGGGCACCGAGCGGAGGCGCUUGAAGAUGGUCAAGAUGUCCUGCUUGCUGGGGUCCCCCAUCGUCAGCUGUGAGCCGCGGCGCAGCUGGCCCAGCCAACCGGAAAAGGAGUGGAUGCCCACGUGGCUGGCUGAGGCUCCUGGGCCCGCCGCCUCCGUCCCCCCGCUGGCCUGUCCCCGACUCAUCACUGGAUCGCCUCCACAUAAUUUGCCGGGUAUAGGCCAACUUGCCCGUUGUCCAAGCGUCCCUUGCACCAGCCCUGCUCAUCCUCGUCCUCCAUCUUGGUCAGCUCAUCCCCUGCAAGACAAAGAGGGAGCCGUCUCCAUGAGAGACGGAGUCUAGCUCUGUUGCCCAAGCUGAAGCGCAG